This 227-nucleotide non-coding RNA is filed under the name Desulfofarcimen acetoxidans DSM 771. RNAcentral describes it as "Desulfotomaculum acetoxidans DSM 771 Bacterial large subunit ribosomal RNA". It matches the Rfam family "Bacterial large subunit ribosomal RNA", at positions 2680 to 2912 of the family's 2925-position model. Lineage: Bacteria; Bacillati; Bacillota; Clostridia; Eubacteriales; Peptococcaceae. The record is from Rfam by way of RNAcentral.
AAGACGGUAGGUAGGGCCGGGAUGGACGGAUCACCUGUGUACUGGUUGUCGCGCCAGCGGCAAUGCCGGGUAGUUAAGGAAGGGAUUAGCGCUGAAAGCAUUAAGCGCGAAGCCCACCUUAAGAUUAGGUUUCCCUUUGCAAGAAUAAGACCCCUGGAAGACCACCAGGUAGAUAGGCCGGGUGUGUAAGCACAUAUGUGUUUAGCUGGCCGGAACUAAUAGGUCGA